RNAcentral lists this ribosomal RNA (380 nucleotides) under uncultured eukaryote. RNAcentral describes it as "partial 18S ribosomal RNA". It matches the Rfam family "Eukaryotic small subunit ribosomal RNA", at positions 592 to 976 of the family's 1831-position model. The record is from RNAcentral.
CAAUAGCGUAUAUUAAAGUUGUUGCGGUUAAAAAGCUCGUAGUUGGAUUUCUGUUGAGAGCAGCGCGUCUACCUUUUGGGUAAGUAUGUUGCUUGGUCUCGGCAUCUUCGUGGAAAACGUUUCUGCGCUUGAUUGCGUGGGGCGGGGUUCACGACUUUUACUUUGAGGAAAUUAGAGUGUUCACGGCAGGCAUACGCCUUGAAUAUAUUAGCAUGGAAUAAUAACAUAGGGCUUACGGCCUAUUUUGUUGGUUUCUAGGCUGCAGGCAAUGAUUAAUAGGGACAAUUGGGGGCAUUCGUAUUAACGCGUCAGAGGUGAAAUUCUUGGAUUGCGUUACGACGAACUACCGCGAAAGCAUUUGCCAAGGAUGUUUUCAUUGA